RNAcentral lists this ribosomal RNA (389 nucleotides) under uncultured bacterium. RNAcentral's name for it is "bacterial SSU rRNA". It matches the Rfam family "Bacterial small subunit ribosomal RNA", at positions 28 to 417 of the family's 1533-position model. The record is from RNAcentral.
GACGAACGCUGGCGGCGUGCUUAACACAUGCAAGUCGAGCGGUAAGGCCCUUUCGGGGGUACACGAGCGGCGAACGGGUGAGUAACACGUGGGUGACCUGCCCUCAGCUCUGGGAUAAGCCUGGGAAACCGGGUCUAAUACCGGAUAUGACUCCAUGACGCAUGUUGUGGGGUGGAAAGCCUUGUGCGGCUGAGGAUGGGCCCGCGGCCUAUCAGCUUGUUGGUGGGGUGAUGGCCUACCAAGGCGACGACGGGUAGCCGGCCUGAGAGGGCGACCGGCCACACUGGGACUGAGACACGGCCCACGACUCCUACGGGAGGCAGCAGUGGGGAAUCUUGCGCAAUGGGCGAAAGCCUGACGCAGCGACGCCGCGUGAGGGAUGACGGCCU